AUUGAACGCUGGCGGCAUGCCUUACACAUGCAAGUCGAACGGCAGCACGGGAGCAAUCCUGGUGGCGAGUGGCGAACGGGUGAGUAAUAUAUCGGAACGUGCCCAGUCGUGGGGGAUAACGUAGCGAAAGCUACGCUAAUACCGCAUACGAUCUACGGAUGAAAGCGGGGGAUCGCAAGACCUCGCGCGAUUGGAGCGGCCGAUAUCAGAUUAGGUAGUUGGUGAGGUAAAGGCUCACCAAGCCGACGAUCUGUAGCUGGUCUGAGAGGACGACCAGCCACACUGGGACUGAGACACGGCCCAGACUCCUACGGGAGGCAGCAGUGGGAAUUUUGGACAAUGGGCGCAAGCCUGAUCCAGCAAUGCCGCGUGCAGGAU
Molecule: ribosomal RNA, 378 nt
Filed under: uncultured bacterium
Lineage: Bacteria
Description: bacterial SSU rRNA
Rfam family: Bacterial small subunit ribosomal RNA
Source: RNAcentral